AGAAACUGAAAAGAAUUAAAUUGGAGUUUAAACGGACCCGUUAGGAAUUUAAUCGGGUGAUAAGACGAAUUAGGCCAAUACCGGGUUUAGAUAGUUACCAGUGCAUUUUUGCAUUCCAUAUCAUGCAUUGGUAGUCUAAAUUAGUUUAAUUUUGAUUUAGUACCAACUUGGUGAAACUCUCGAUUUUGUAUUGUGUCAAGGUGGUGAGUCCUCCGAUAAAGGCAAGGAAAUUGCAUCCGAGGACCAGUAGACAGAGUGCUUCGAAAGUCUGCAUUCUAGACAUUGUGAGUAAACUUACUGUCAUUUUAAUUAUCUAGGGUGGUUUUUAGAUGCUUUCAUGAAUUCUAUGGAAAAAGGAAUUUAAAAAGAUAAAUUUUCAUGUUUUAUGAAUAAAUGAGUUUCAAUGAAAUUAAAUUAUAAAUUGUUUUGAAAUUAAUAGUGAUUUUGAAAAAUAGAGUACACGGAGACUGUUAAUUGUGGCAAUUUGAUUGUUUAAAUUAACUGGCUUAUGAUAAAUCGAGCAUGAUUGGCUAGUUGGCAAUUGUAUUGAAAUGCGAAUUGUUUGGUUACCUUGAAAAACUACGAAUUACAAAAUUGCCAUAUCAUGUUAUUGAGUUUUAUUAUAUGGUGGAUUAUAUAUUAAUUAAUCACUGCAGUAGGGGGUUUCUGUGGACCAGCCUUUUAGAGGGGCACUGUAAACUCCAUUAUAUUCUUACCUCGAACGGAGAGGCGCGUAGGGUAUCUCCUGGGGUAAAGUUUAGGGUUCACUUCACGCUAAACCACCAAGUGAGGGGGAACUCAGCCAACGCCAAGGAACGGCUAUGUUUUCAAAACAAAAACAUGAUUAAUGUGAAAUGUGAAUUUUAAUAGUUGGUAGGAUGCCUCGGCCAAGGUGUCCCCGAGAAUGGCUUUAUGGCACAAGCCUAGAUUUUUGUGAGAUUCAUAAGCCUUUUUACGUAUUUUGAACGAGAUGUGUUCUAAUUGUAUAACCCAGUUUAUGAUGAUUUACUUUAUUGUCUCCAUGUACUCAACUCUAGAUGUUUAUGAUGAUGUUUGUUUACUCAUUGGGAUUUUAUAAUCUCAACACCCUCCUUUCCACCCAUUUCAGGUUCAGUAUAGACUGUAGAUAGCUGAUCUCAUCGAGGACUACAAUGGGAUCUGUAUUUUCCAAACCGUAGGUUCACAGUCCUCUUUACUUUUGUUUAUUCGGGGGCACUCUUGCUAUUGUAAAUUAAAUUAAAUAUUUUGACUUACUGUAUUUAAGUAUGUAUAAAUUUAUUUAGCUUUUACGCUAUAAAAAUUAUUCACGUAUAACUCUAUAAAUAUUGUUUUAUAAGAAAAU
RNAcentral lists this long non-coding RNA (1342 nucleotides) under Theobroma cacao (cacao). Its description in RNAcentral is "long non-coding RNA (TCAC_LNC002022)". Lineage: Eukaryota; Viridiplantae; Streptophyta; Magnoliopsida; Malvales; Malvaceae. The record is from RNAcentral.